Molecule: long non-coding RNA, 471 nt
Filed under: Helianthus annuus (common sunflower)
Lineage: Eukaryota; Viridiplantae; Streptophyta; Magnoliopsida; Asterales; Asteraceae
Description: hypothetical non coding rna
Source: RNAcentral
AAUGUGAAAAAUGGCAUGGGGAGUGUAGAAUCGCAUGUGGAAGAUUGAAUAUCGCAUACGAAAAAAUGGUUAGCAUAGGGUAAUGUGAAAAGUGGCAUGGGGUGUGUAGAUGGACAAAAUCGCAUGUGGAAGAUUGAAUUCGCACAGUUUCGCAUGGAGGUAUGAAAUCGCAUGGGAGAUGAAGAUCUGACGGCUGGGGUUAUCGCGUACGUAAUGUACGAUAAGCCCUAUUGUACGUUAACUGACCUCUAUAUAAAUAUAUAGGGUGGGAGUUGGCCACAAAGUCCAUUUUUCCUAUAAAGUGUAAAAAGUCAUAAAACACCAUAACAUUAACCAUAAAACACACUCAAAACCCACAAAUAACAAAUGGAAGAUUACCAAAACGCCAUAUUUGUGGGUUUUGUGUUGUGUUUUGGAUGAUAAGGCUUUGAUUAUCGAAUGACUAAUAUUAUUCUACGAUGGUGUGUUUGA